GAGAUAACUUGAAGGAGAAGAAGCUUCUAACUUCACUCUCAGGCAGUUUAACUCUGUCUUUAUCUCU
Molecule: transfer RNA, 67 nt
Filed under: Palaemon modestus
Lineage: Eukaryota; Metazoa; Arthropoda; Malacostraca; Decapoda; Palaemonidae
Also listed under: 2 other names
Description: tRNA-Ser
Source: RNAcentral